This 425-nucleotide unclassified non-coding RNA is filed under the name soil metagenome. RNAcentral's name for it is "partial contains 5.8S ribosomal RNA, internal transcribed spacer 2, and large subunit ribosomal RNA". The stretch from base 1 to 120 matches the Rfam family "5.8S ribosomal RNA", at positions 35 to 154 of the family's 154-position model. The record is from RNAcentral.
GAUGAAGAACGUAGCGAAAUGCGAUAAGUAGUGUGAAUUGCAGAAUUCCGUGAAUCAUCGAAUCUUUGAACGCACAUUGCGCCUUCUGGUAUUCCGGAAGGCAUACCUGUUCGAGAGUCAUUAACAACCGUUUCGAUCCCUUUCUUUCAGAAAUUACAAAGAGGAAAAGGGUUUGGUUAUGGUGGAGGAGGGAAAGGGAGCGUUUAGCCUGUAAAAAAAGAGGCUGUGUUCCGCCUCCCCCCCAAAAUUGUACAGGCGGUCGUGUGCGCCCACGCAUCGAGGUGUUGUAAAAGCUGCCACGGCACUUUUCACCUGUGCAGUGCGAGAUUGGCCAGCCGGUUUAAAAACCCCUCCAAACAAUCAAAGGUUGACCUCGGAUCAGGUAGGGAUACCCGCUGAACUUAAGCAUAUCAAUAAGCGGAGGA